Long non-coding RNA from Helianthus annuus (common sunflower), 2142 nucleotides. RefSeq lists it as uncharacterized. The transcript is spliced from 4 exons. The record is from RefSeq and is a predicted model, not a curated record. NCBI's taxonomy places the organism in Eukaryota, Viridiplantae, Streptophyta, Magnoliopsida, Asterales, Asteraceae.
ACGCGUGUAAUUUGUAAACCACUAGGACCAAGUAUGAAAUUUUUGCAAACCACAGGGACCAACCAAACAUUUAACUCUUACUUAAAACACCAAAAUAUUUACUAUGAUCUUGAUCUAAACACAAUAAAAACGCCGCAUAUUUAUUAAACGUCAAAAAAUGGAAAGGUGAUGUGACACGCGUUUAAAAAAAGAAAUAUGAAAGGACAAAAAAGCCCUUCCGCCCUUCUCUAUGUCGCGUGACACGUGUUGGGCCAGUAUACGUUCUCACCGUUCUCACAGUUUUGGGCAUUUUCUCCUGAUCCCGUUCCUAUAUAUAUAUAUUCUCGCAUAAUCAUUCAACCAGCCUACGAUUUUGAUUCUGACAGUGGAUCAUCGAACGAUUUCAAGUUUUGAUUUGAUUUCCAUUUCUAAGCAGUUUAUAGGUCUUAGUUGGAUUUCAAUUUCCGAUUUCUAAGUGGUUUACAACCCACAAUUUCAUGUAUUGGUGUGUUCUUUAUUUUAGGGUGAAAACAAGUAAAACCACAAUAAGGGGUAGUGAAAAAAAAUAGUGAAAGUCGUGUGGUGAGGUGUUCUUGAAGUGGCAAGAACUUUAUGACAUGGUAGUGAAAACAAUAAUGAAGCAUUAACACAUAGCCUUAGAGCAUCCACAAUAGAGGUAUUUUUAGGUGUUUUUAAGGAGAGAGAAAGUGAUGUGGAGGAGAGAGAGUGUGGUAAUGUAUGUGAGAAAAAAUGAGAAAAAAUGGAUGGAAGAAAGUAAUGUUAGGGUAUGUUUGGCAACAAGCUUUUAGGGGCUUUUAGGAGCUUCAAGCUUUAAAGAAAAAGCUCCAGGCCCAAUAAAAGCCUUGUUUGGUUGAAACAGGCUUCAGGCUUUUAGAUUAGUUGAAAAGCUCUUUUUAAAACGCUGGCAGCGUUUAAAAAAACCUACAAGCUUUUAGGGUUUAAAUUACUUAAAUAACCUACAAUCCUCAACAUCCCAGAUUGAAAAAAAGGAUCGAUCAAAACAAUCCUCAUCAUCCCAUAUUGAAAAAAAGGAUCGAUCAAAACAAAAGCCAGGUAUGCAUGUUCUUGUUUAAUUGAAUUGAAUAUCAUCUUUUGUCUUCUUAUGUGUUGCAAUUUCAAACAACAAAAGCAUGUUACGUAAUCGUCAGAUUUGGAUUUUAGUUUCUCUUAUUUAAUUUAUACAUUAAUGGUCAACAAAAGCAUUUUGAUUAUUCACGAAUUAUUAUUAACAUAUAAAUAAGCAACCACUUUGUGCUUAUGUUGAUUGUACUAUAGGCCUGGGGUCUUUUUCAAAAAAAAAAAAAAAAAGUGUUCACUCCCCCACCGUAUAUCUGCUGACUCUGUCUCUCACCAUUCUAUUCAUAUUCCCAUUUGACUGGCUUUCUUGGAUCCUUUUCUUUUUCUACACAUACGAUGAGAUAUAUAUAGAGAGAUAUGGAGCAAAACCCCAUCGCCCACCACUACACCACCCGACGACGGCGAUGAGUGAACUCCACCGCUUCACAGUCCUACCAACCAACGAUGACGCUGAGUGAAUAGCCGGCUCUCUGGCGGCUAGGGUUCCGCUGGAAACCCGACAAAGGAGAUGAUCGGAGGUUGUCGGCUCUUCUGCGUGCUCUUGUCCUGGUUCUUCAAUUUUUGGUCAGAUCUAAUUCACAUAGUAAAGGGAUUUUAGAUUUCAUCUGGCUUGAUGGUCCAAUUUCCCUAUUUUGAAAGGGUAAAAGAAAAGAGAAAAAACUCACAAGCAGCGAACCAUAGGAUGGAGGUAGUAGGAGGCGUCAAUCGAACCAGAAAAACCAGAUAAAAUAGAUGACCAUGAGCAGCGAAACUUCAUGCGAUUUAAUCACAAGCAUCAGACCAAACUAGAAGCAAAAAUCAGGUCCAUCACACAUAUGUAGCUGCUAGAUCUUAUGGUGCUUUUAAAAGGUCCCAAGCGUGGAAAACCAUCCGACGUAUUGAGAAUGAGGCAGAUGCUCAUAAAACUUAAGCACCACAGCCCUCUUCACCUUAAAUAAAUGACACUGCCGCCUGCUGAUAUGUAUGUCAAGGCCGAUGCAGCUAAAGUUCCUAUUGUUGUUGCUUAAGUGUGUUAAUGGUGUUUCUGUCACCUCUCAGUUUUGUCAAUAUAUAAUAGUUCAUUGA